This 252-nucleotide ribosomal RNA is filed under the name uncultured bacterium. RNAcentral describes it as "partial 16S ribosomal RNA". It matches the Rfam family "Bacterial small subunit ribosomal RNA", at positions 80 to 334 of the family's 1533-position model. The record is from RNAcentral.
UUUCUUUGCUGGCGACCGGCGCACGGGUGAGUAACACGUAUCCAACCUGCCUUUACUCGGGGAUAGCCUUUCGAAAGAAAGAUUAAUACCCGAUAGUAUAAUGAUUCCGCAUGGUUUCAUUAUUAAAGGAUUCCGGUAAAGGAUGGGGAUGCGUUCCAUUAGGUUGUUGGUGAGGUAACGGCUCACCAAGCCUUCGAUGGAUAGGGGUUCUGAGAGGAAGGUCCCCCACAUUGGAACUGAGACACGGUCCAA